Molecule: unclassified non-coding RNA, 237 nt
Filed under: fungal sp.
Lineage: Eukaryota; Fungi
Description: partial internal transcribed spacer region
Rfam family: Eukaryotic small subunit ribosomal RNA (bases 1-46)
Source: RNAcentral
AAGUCGUAACAAGGUUUCCGUAGGUGAACCUGCGGAAGGAUCAUUAGAGUAUUUACCCACUCUUUGUAUGCUCACUCUGGGUCGCCUUCUCGUCACUGAGAUGGCGUGGCCCGUAAGACUGGUGGACUUUGAGCCACCGGUCGCUUUUCUUGACACUUUAUUUCUUUUUUUCAUGACUGAGACAAAAGUUAGCAUUAAUUGCUGAGACAACUUUUAGCAACGGAUCUCUAGGCUCUC